UCUGAAUCUGCGAACGGCUCCGCAAACCAGUUGUAAACUAUAGCAAGCAAGUCUGGGCCCGGCCUUCACGGGCAGGGUCUGGGCGAUAUGGAUAACCCUGGUAAUUCUGAGGCUAAUACAAGAGCGUAACCCUCGGCUGACCGGCCUCGGCUGGGAGGCUGAGGGACGUGUGAUUGUGGCUUGGGUAAACCGGGAAAGGGCACACGUUCAGACCGCGCUACAAAGGAUCGGGACCCCUCUCGGGGGGACCUGGCCCCAGCGGCUCUUGCUGUGUGCUUCUGACCUAUCAACUAGACGGCAGCGUAAAGGACAUGCUAUGGU
Molecule: ribosomal RNA, 321 nt
Filed under: Lamproderma pulchellum
Lineage: Eukaryota; Evosea; Eumycetozoa; Stemonitida; Stemonitidae
Description: SSU rRNA
Rfam family: Eukaryotic small subunit ribosomal RNA
Source: RNAcentral